GAUGAACGCUAGCGGCAGGCCUAACACAUGCAAGUCGAGGGGCAUCGCGGUGCAGCAAUGCACUGGCGGCGACCGGCGUACGGGUGCGUAACGCGUAUGCAACCUGCCCCGCACCGGGGGAUAGCCCGCCGAAAGGCGGAUUAAUACCCCAUGGUCCCGGGGGCCCGCAUGGGCAUCCGGGUAAAGCCUUGGCGGUGCGGGAUGGGCAUGCGUGCCAUUAGCUGGCUGGUGGGGUAACGGCCCACCAGGGCAACGAUGGCUAGGGGGUCUGAGAGGAUGGUCCCCCACACUGGUACUGAGACACGGACCAGACUCCUACGGGAGGCAGCAGUGAGGAAUAUUGGUCAAUGGGCGGAAGCCUGAACCAGCCAUGCCGCGUGCGGGAUGAAGGCCCUACGGGUUGUAAACCGCUUUUCCCCGGGAAGAAUAACCCCGAUGAGUCGGGGAUGCCGGUACCGGGGAAUAGGAUCGGCUAACUCCGUGCCGAGCAGCCGCGGUAAUCUGUAGUCGU
Molecule: ribosomal RNA, 511 nt
Filed under: uncultured bacterium
Lineage: Bacteria
Description: bacterial SSU rRNA
Rfam family: Bacterial small subunit ribosomal RNA
Source: RNAcentral